This 405-nucleotide ribosomal RNA is filed under the name uncultured bacterium. RNAcentral's name for it is "bacterial SSU rRNA". It matches the Rfam family "Bacterial small subunit ribosomal RNA", at positions 355 to 776 of the family's 1533-position model. The record is from RNAcentral.
UGGGGAAUAUUGCACAAUGGGGGGAACCCUGAUGCAGCGACGCCGCGUGAGUGAAGAAGCAUUUCGGUGCGUAAAGCUCUGUCAGCAGGAACGAAGAAAGACGGUACCUGACCAAGAAGCCCCGGCUAACUACGUGCCAGCAGCCGCGGUAAUACGUAGGGGGCAAGCGUUAUCCGGAUUUACUGGGUGUAAAGGGAGCGUAGACGGCAGGGCAAGUCUGGAGUGAAAGGCCGGGGCCCAACCCCGGGACUGCUCUGGAAACUGUCCGGCUGGAGUACAGGAGAGGUAAGCGGAAUUCCUAGUGUAGCGGUGAAAUGCGUAGAUAUUAGGAGGAACACCGGCGGCGAAGGCGGCUUACUGGACUGUAACUGACGUUGAGGCUCGAAAGCGUGGGGAGCAAACAGG